This 253-nucleotide ribosomal RNA is filed under the name uncultured bacterium. RNAcentral's name for it is "partial 16S ribosomal RNA". It matches the Rfam family "Bacterial small subunit ribosomal RNA", at positions 524 to 776 of the family's 1533-position model. The record is from RNAcentral.
UACAGAGGGUGCGAGCGUUAAUCGGAAUUACUGGGCGUAAAGGGUGCGUAGGUGGCUAAAUAAGUUAGGUGUGAAAUUCCUGGGCUCAACUUGGGGACUGCGCCUAAUACUGUUUGGCUAGAGUACUGUAGAGGGAAGUGGAAUUUCCGGUGUAGCGGUGAAAUGCGUAGAUAUCGGAAGGAACAUCAGUGGCGAAGGCGAUUUUCUGGACAGAUACUGACACUGAGGCACGAAAGCGUGGGGAGCAAACAGG